CGGGCCGCCUCGUGCCAGCGGCUUCGGCUUGUUUGAGUGCCCGCCAGAGGACCCCAACUUUUGGUUUUUUAAUAAUGUCUGAGUACUAUAUAAAUAGUUAAAAACUUUUCAACAACGGAUCUUCUUUGGUUCUGGCAUCGAUGAAAGAAACGCAGCGAAAUUGCGAUAAGUAAUGUGAAUUUGCAGAAUUCAGUGAAUCAUCGAAUCUUUGAACGCACAUUUGCGCCCUCUGGUAUUCCGGGGGGCAUGCCUGUUCGAGCGUCAUUAUAACCACUCAAGCUCUCGCUUUGGUAUUGGGGUUCGCGGUUUCGCGGCCCCUAAAAUCAGUGGCGGUGCCUGUCGGCUCUACGCGUAGUAAUACUCCUCGCGAUUGAGUCCGGUAGGUCUACUUUGCCAGCAACCCCUAAUUUUUUUAAGGUUGACCUCGGAUCAGGUAGGGAUACCCGCUGAACUUAAGCAUAUCAAUAAGCGGAGGAAAAGAAACCAACAGGGAUUACCUCAGUAACGGCGAGUGAAGCGGUAACAGCUCAAUUUGAAAGCUGGCUCUUUUAGGGUCCGCGUUGUAAUUUGUAGAAGAUGCUUCGGGUGUGC
Molecule: ribosomal RNA, 591 nt
Filed under: uncultured Leptodontidium
Lineage: Eukaryota; Fungi; Ascomycota
Description: eukaryotic LSU rRNA
Rfam family: Eukaryotic large subunit ribosomal RNA (bases 420-591)
Source: RNAcentral